GGAGAGUUUGACAGGCGCACGGCCUGUAUAUACGGACGCUCUACUGCGACACUGCUAUCCCGUCACCUCAGUUCCAUACAACUAUGGCACAGAUACGCAUCAGUAUGAAACGACGCCGAAAGAUGUCCAACGUGAUGACCAUGUUUGACCCGACUCAGAUCCGGGAAUUUAAGGUUUAAUAAUGUCCAAACCAGUCAAGGAAUCUGCAGUGAACCAAGGAGAAAGAAGUGUGGUGAACUAUGGGAAUGUUGAUACAAUACGAACGGGAGAUCAA
Molecule: long non-coding RNA, 274 nt
Organism: Haliotis rufescens (red abalone)
Lineage: Eukaryota; Metazoa; Mollusca; Gastropoda; Lepetellida; Haliotidae
Exons: 4
Source: RefSeq, a predicted model, not a curated record